This 273-nucleotide ribosomal RNA is filed under the name uncultured bacterium. Its description in RNAcentral is "partial 16S ribosomal RNA". It matches the Rfam family "Bacterial small subunit ribosomal RNA", at positions 82 to 354 of the family's 1533-position model. The record is from RNAcentral.
CUUCCGCCGGCGACCGGCGCACGGGUGAGUAACACGUAUGCAACCUGCCCCUGUCAGGGGGACAACCCGCCGAAAGGCGGGCUAAACCCGCGUACAUGCCACCGGGGCAUCCCGGUGGCAGGAAAGGCUUCGGCCGGACAGGGAUGGGCAUGCGGCGCAUUAGGCAGUAGGCGGGGUAACGGCCCACCUAACCGACGAUGCGUAGGGGUUCUGAGAGGAAGGUCCCCCACACUGGUACUGAGACACGGACCAGACUCCUACGGAAGGCAGCAG